This 468-nucleotide ribosomal RNA is filed under the name uncultured bacterium. RNAcentral describes it as "partial 16S ribosomal RNA". It matches the Rfam family "Bacterial small subunit ribosomal RNA", at positions 28 to 507 of the family's 1533-position model. The record is from RNAcentral.
GACGAACGCUGGCGGCGUGCUUAACACAUGCAAGUCGAACGGAAAGGCCCUGCUUUUGUGGGGUGCUCGAGUGGCGAAAGGGUGAGUAACACGUGAGUAACCUGCCCUUGACUUUGGGAUAACUUCAGGAAACUGGGGCUAAUACCGGAUAGGAGCUCCUGCUGCAUGGUGGGGGUUGGAAAGUUUCGGCGGUUGGGGAUGGACUCGCGGCUUAUCAGCCUGUUGGUGGGGUAGUGGCUUACCAAGGCUUUGACGGGUAGCCGGCCUGAGAGGGUGACCGGCCACAUUGGGACUGAGAUACGGCCCAGACUCCUACGGGAGGCAGCAGUGGGGAAUAUUGCACAAUGGGCGGAAGCCUGAUGCAGCAACGCCGCGUGCGGGAUGACGGCCUUCGGGUUGUAAACCGCUUUCGCCUGUGACGAAGCGUGAGUGACGGUAAUGGGUAAAGAAGCACCGGCUAACUACGUG